CCUACGUGGUGCAGCAGUGAGGAAUAUUGGUCAAUGGGCGCGAGCCUGAACCAGCCAAGUAGCGUGAAGGAUGACUGCCCUACGGGUUGUAAACUUCUUUUAUAAAGGAAUAAAGUGAGGCACGGGUGCCUUUUUGUAUGUAUUUUAUGAAGAAGGAUCGGCUAACUACGUGCAAGCAGCCGCGGUAAUACGGAGGAUCCGAGCGUUGUCCGGAUUUAUUGGGUUUAAAGGGAGCGUAGAUGGGUUGUUAAGUCAGUUGUGAAAGUUUGCGGCUCAACCGUAAAAUUGCAAUUGAUACUGGCAGCCUUGAGUACAGUUGAGGUAGGCGGAAUUCGUGGUGUAGCGGUGAAAUGCUUAGAUAUCACGAAGAACUCCGAUUGCGAAGGCAGCCUACUAAACUGCCACUGACAUUGAUGCUCGAAAGUGUGGGUAUCAAACAGGAUUAGAUACCCUUGUAGUC
Molecule: ribosomal RNA, 460 nt
Filed under: uncultured bacterium
Lineage: Bacteria
Description: partial 16S ribosomal RNA
Rfam family: Bacterial small subunit ribosomal RNA
Source: RNAcentral